Molecule: transfer RNA, 72 nt
Filed under: Caudoviricetes sp.
Lineage: Duplodnaviria; Heunggongvirae; Uroviricota; Caudoviricetes
Description: tRNA-Met
Rfam family: tRNA
About the family: Transfer RNA (tRNA) molecules are approximately 80 nucleotides in length.
Source: RNAcentral
GGCAGGAUGGAGAAGUGGAAUCUCACAAGGCUCAUAUCCUUGAGAACGGCGGUUCAAAUCCGUCUCCUGCAA